ACCAGUGUGGCACAGUGGUUUGAGCACUGGACAGUGACUCUAGAGAUCAGGGUUCAAUUCCAUGCUCAAUCA
Molecule: non-coding RNA, 72 nt
Organism: Phrynosoma platyrhinos (Desert horned lizard)
Lineage: Eukaryota; Metazoa; Chordata; Lepidosauria; Squamata; Phrynosomatidae
Source: the annotation of a GenBank genome assembly